Molecule: ribosomal RNA, 450 nt
Filed under: uncultured bacterium
Lineage: Bacteria
Description: bacterial SSU rRNA
Rfam family: Bacterial small subunit ribosomal RNA
Source: RNAcentral
GUGAGGAAUAUUGGGCAAUGGGCGAAAGCCUGACCCAGCCACGCCGCGUGAGUGAUGAAGGCCUUCGGGUUGUAAAGCUCUGUGGGGAGGGAAGAAAAAGCGGGAGAGUAACUGCUCUCGUGUUGACGGUACCUCCUUAGCAAGCACCGGCUAACUCUGUGCCAGCAGCCGCGGUAAUACAGAGGGUGCAAACGUUGCUCGGAAUUACUGGGCGUAAAGCGCGUGUAGGCUGACGUGCAAGUCGGGUGUGAAAUCCCAGGGCUCAACCUUGGAACUGCACUCGAAACUGCACGUCUUGAGUACUGGAGAGGGAAGCGGAAUUCCGGGUGUAGAGGUGAAAUUCGUAGAUAUCCGGAGGAACACCAGUGGCGAAGGCGGCUUCCUGGACAGUAACUGACGCUGAGACGCGAAAGCGUGGGGAGCAAACAGGAUUAGAAACCCGUGUAGUCC